Molecule: long non-coding RNA, 212 nt
Filed under: Mytilus galloprovincialis (Mediterranean mussel)
Lineage: Eukaryota; Metazoa; Mollusca; Bivalvia; Mytilida; Mytilidae
Source: RNAcentral
CCUCAACUCCCAAAAUCAAUCCCAACCUUCCUUUUGUGGUCAUAAACCUUGUGUUUAAAUUUCAUUGAUUUAUAUUUACUUAUACUAAAGUUAUUGUGCGAAAACCAAGAAUAAUGCCUAGUUGGGCCCUUUUUGGCCCCUAAUUCCUAAACUGUUGGAACCAAAACUCCCAAAAUCAAUCCCAACCUUCCUUUUGUGGUCAUAAACCUUGU